CCUUAUUUCACAAUAUAUUGUCAAUGGGUUUUACUCGGGUUACUCAUCGGCAUGGUUCUCUCUGCCUCUUGGGGAAAUGGUGAGCACCCAUCUCAGUGAAAGUCCCCUCGUAGGUGUCAGUUACAUCUAAGACAUGUCCGCGGUCUCUAGGAACUUAGACCUUCUAUGCGUGGGUUGCGGCAGUGUGUCCUGAUGUCCUACAAGUUGAUUUAAAAACUCUCCUUUAGGUUUUUCAUAUUUAAGUUCAAUAACCAAGACAGAUUUUUCAGGCGUCUAUGAUGAAAGAGCUUCAUCAACCACUGUUUGAGGCACUGUUUGUGCCCCCGUUUGAGGCACAAACUUGGAGUGAUGUCUCCCUCCCCUGAGUCUCCAUCGCAGGCCAUCACUCCUUCAGUUAUUUUCACUGCAGAGGUCCCCUCCUGCACCUCCUCACAGCAUCGCCCUAAUCUGCUCUUUCUUUGA
This 462-nucleotide long non-coding RNA is filed under the name Bos taurus (domestic cattle). Its description in RNAcentral is "long non-coding RNA NONBTAT016624". Lineage: Eukaryota; Metazoa; Chordata; Mammalia; Artiodactyla; Bovidae. The record is from RNAcentral.